CGUUGAGAAGUUCGUUGUGCAAAUCAAUGCAUCUUGAAAAUUAGAUCUUACUAAUUUAGUUAAAUAUGGUUUGUAUAAAUUUGAAGGGUAAUAAAAGGAUUUUAAAAUAUUAUUGUUUUAGUAGAAUGAAUCGAAAAAGCAUAUAAAAGAGUUAUAGAGUAAAGUACUGUAAAGGAAAGAUGAAAUAAAUUGAAAAUUUGAUUGAUAAAAAGUAGAAUUAAAUAUUCGUACCUUGUGUAUUAGGGGAAAUCAAAAUAAUCUUGUUAAAUUAAGUAUUCCCGAAAAAGAAAGAGCUAACGCAGAUAAAUAGUUUUCAUAUCAAUGAAAUUAUAAAAUUUGUGUUAGUAGUGAAAUGCUAGACGAUUUCUUAUAUCUGGUUGUUAGAGAAUUAAAUUCAAUUUAGUUAUUUCGAGGUAAAUAAAACUUUGAAAUAAGAAAGAGUAGGAGGGAAAAGCUUCUUAUUCUAAUAAUAGGUAAAUUAUAAUAAAAAGAAUUAAAAUAUUAUUGAAUUAGGCUUAAAAACAGCUAUAUU
This 532-nucleotide ribosomal RNA is filed under the name Penaeus brasiliensis (pinkspotted shrimp). Its description in RNAcentral is "partial 16S ribosomal RNA". The record is from RNAcentral. Lineage: Eukaryota; Metazoa; Arthropoda; Malacostraca; Decapoda; Penaeidae.